RNAcentral lists this ribosomal RNA (439 nucleotides) under uncultured bacterium. RNAcentral describes it as "bacterial SSU rRNA". It matches the Rfam family "Bacterial small subunit ribosomal RNA", at positions 340 to 774 of the family's 1533-position model. The record is from RNAcentral.
UACGGGAGGCAGCAGUGGGGAAUAUUGCACAAUGGGCGCAAGCCUGAUGCAGCCAUGCCGCGUGUAUGAAAAAGGCCUUCGGGUUGUAAAGUACUUUCAGUCGUGAGGAAGGUGUUAAGGUUAAUAACCUUAGCAAUUGACGUUAGCGACAGAAGAAGCACCGGCUAACUCCGUGCCAGCAGCCGCGGUAAUACGGAGGGUGCGAGCGUUAAUCGGAAUUACUGGGCGUAAAGGGCACGCAGGCGGUUAAUUAAGUUGGAUGUGAAAUCCCCGGGCUUAACCUGGGAAUGGCAUUCAAGCUGGUUAGCUAGAGUCUUGUAGAGGGGGUAGAAUUCCAUGUGUAGCGGUGAAAUGCGUAGAGAUGUGGAGGAAUACCGGUGGCGAAGGCGGCCCCUGGACAAAGACUGACGCUCAUGUGCGAAAGCGUGGGGAGCAAACG